GUGUUGUAAUUAGAUAUCAGCAGAUCAAUUUCCUGCAACAGCAGAAGUAUACUUCACCCUGGAACUAUGGAAUAUGAACAACCCACUGAUGUGUGAGGUGGAUUAGUUAAGUGAUGAACUUUAGAUUCUUCACAAAAAUAUUCACUGCCUGUCAAAAGAAUUUGUGCAACCAGAUCAGCUGUUUUCUGAGAAAUAUUAGUCAUUGCAUAGCAAAAACAAAUGGACUGAAACAAGUUUCAACCAAGAUGUAGGUCCAAGCAGCAACUGCUACCAACCCAUCAAUGGCUGCAGCUAAUUAAGUGGCUGCAUGCUGUAACUUAAUUGAUAAGUGAAAGACCUCCAUAAAUGAGCCAAUUACCAUGUGUCUUCUGGAAACAGGAGGAAGUAUCCAGAUAAGGAAGACUGAGAAGCAGCGUUCUGAUCAGAAAAAGGAUCGUCACAGCAAACCUGAUGGAGAGGAGCCACUAAACUGCCUUUCCAGUCUUUCCCACUGUCCAUAACAUCAUUUUUUUUCCUGCCUGUUUCUGUUAGUAUGUGCGUCAUGCAGGAGUUUAUAAGUGGGUUAGAGUUUUGUGAAGACUGUGCCUUUAUAUAUUUUCCUACAUGUUUAAUUGU
Molecule: non-coding RNA, 615 nt
Organism: Chiloscyllium plagiosum (whitespotted bambooshark)
Lineage: Eukaryota; Metazoa; Chordata; Chondrichthyes; Orectolobiformes; Hemiscylliidae
Source: RefSeq, a predicted model, not a curated record